CUCCGGUUGAUCCCUACGGACCCGACUGCUAUCAGAGUGGGACUAAGCCAUGCGAGUCAACGCAGCAAUGCGUGGCAUACGGCUCAGUAACACGUAGUCAACAUGCCCAGGGGACGUGGAUAACCUCGGGAAACUGAGGAUAAACCGCGAUAGGCCAAGAUUUCUGGAAUGGAUAAUGGCUGAAAUCUAUAUGGCCCCUGGAUUGGACUGCGGCCGAUCAGGCUGUUGGUGAGGUAAUGGCCCACCAAACCUGUAACCGGUACGGGCUCUGAGAGGAGGAGCCCGGAGAUGGGCACUGAGACAAGGGCCCAGGCCCUAUGGGGCGCAGCAGGCGCGAAACCUCUGCAAUAGGCGAAAGCUUGACAGGGUUACUCUGAGUGAUUUCCGUUAAGGAGAUCUUUUGGCACCUCUAAAAAUGGUGCAGAAUAAGGGGUGGGCAAGUCUGGUGUCAGCCGCCGCGGUAAUACCAGCACCCCGAGUGGUCGGGACGUUUAUUGGGCCUAAAGCAUCCGUAGCCGGUUCUACAAGUCUUCCGUUAAAUCCACCUGCUUAACAGAUGGGCUGCGGAAGAUACUAUAGAGCUAGGAGGCGGGAGAGGCAAGCGGUACUCGAUGGGUAGGGGUAAAAUCCGUUGAUCCAUUGAAGACCACCAGUGGCGAAGGCGGCUUGCCAGAACGCGCUCGACGGUGAGGGAUGAAAGCUGGGGGAGCAAACCGGAUUAGAUACCCGGGUAGUCCCAGCUGUAAACGAUGCAGACUCGGUGAUGAGUUGGCUUAUUGCUAACUCAGUGCCGCAGGGAAGCCGUUAAGUUUGCCGCCUGGGGAGUACGGUCGCAAGACUGAAACUUAAAGCAAAAAGGGGGGGAGCA
RNAcentral lists this ribosomal RNA (868 nucleotides) under uncultured archaeon. RNAcentral's name for it is "bacterial SSU rRNA". It matches the Rfam family "Archaeal small subunit ribosomal RNA", at positions 1 to 878 of the family's 1478-position model. The record is from RNAcentral.